AGCAGCCGCGGUAAUUCCAGCUCCAAUAGCGUAUAUUAAAGUUGUUGCAGUUAAAAAGCUCGUAGUUGAAUUUCGGAAUUUGUCGGUUGGUCGGGCUUCACUGUCCGCACUGGCCUGAUGGAUUCCUACCUUCUGAAUAACCAGCAUGCUAUUAAUUUAGUGCGUUGGGGAAGCAGAGCUAUUACCUUGAAAAAAUUAGAGUGCUUAAAGCAGGCUCACGCUUGAAUAGAUUAGCAUGGAAUAAUAAAAUAGGACGGCUUGGUUCUAUUUUGUUGGUUUCUAGGAUCACCGUAAUGAUUAAUGGGGAUAGUUGGGGGCAUUAGUAUUCAAUUGUCAGAGGUGAAAUUCUUGGAUUUAUUGAAGACUAACUUCUGCGAAAGCAUUUGCCAAGGAUGUUUUCAUUAAUCAAGAACGAAAGUUAGGGGAUCGAAGACGAUCAGAUACCGUCGUAGUCUUAACCAUAAACUAUGCCGACUAGGGAUCGGACGAUGUUAAUUUUUUAAUGACUCG
Molecule: ribosomal RNA, 510 nt
Filed under: uncultured Acaulospora
Lineage: Eukaryota; Fungi; Glomeromycota; Glomeromycetes; Diversisporales; Acaulosporaceae
Description: SSU rRNA
Rfam family: Eukaryotic small subunit ribosomal RNA
Source: RNAcentral